AUGUCAUAUAGGAGCAACAACCCUGAGAUCUCAUCGUUUGCCUCUAGUUAUCCAAUGCAGGGAUUUAGGUAUGAAGAGGAGAGCAACAACUAUGCACCACAGCAAUUGUAUUCAUCUCCUACUCAUAUACCUCAACACCAGGAGAUGUUGCCAAUGGAGUUAAAUGGUCCUCCAUUUGGUCAACCAACACCUUCAACACAAGUGCCCACACAAGAUGAUUUUGAUGAUAUAGACAAGCUCACAUUGCUUAGUCUCGAGUUCACUUGGAGUGCCGAAGAUGAUCCAAUUAGGCUGGUGAUACUAGAGGAAAUGAAGAAGAUCAAGAGUGGAAAAGAGCUAGUGGAAGAAGUAAGGAAGAUUGAGAAGAACAUCAGCGCUGGCAGUACUAUCUCCUCCCUCCUUGAGCUGAGUGUUGCCAAGAUUCCCCUUGAUACAUGUGAGGUUCCAAUACCGUCACAUCCAGCUGAGCAAGAUAGAAAGAGUCCAGAGGAAGAAAGACCUCAGAUUGAAGAAGAAAUACUUGAAGACAAGGAACAAGAUGAUCCAGAGCUCGAACAACAAAGUGAUCAAGUUGAAGACUCAUCAUCUAUUACUCUUGAAGAAGCAAAAGAAGUUGAUGUGAUUGAAGAUGAAGAACCAGAAAAGCAUUUGCCCAUCGUCAUACAGGAGCGUGAUUUAGCAGGUUUAUCCAAUCCUCUUGAUGACAUGCUUCCUUAUGAGAUCUUUGCUGCUACUUUCCAUUGCGUUAUACCAUCAAUCAAGCUAGACUUGAAAAAUUAUUUGCUUGGACAUGAUCAUACAUACACUGUUGGUGGCAUUGCUCUCAUUCCUGAUGAUGACACUUAUUUUCCUUAUGCUAGUCCUAUGCUUAAUGAAACAUAUUAUUCCCAUGCUAGUCUUGAGCUUAAUGAUAAAUUUCAUCCUCAUGUUAGUGUUGACCUUGCUGAUUUCUACCAUCCUAAACAUGUGCUUUAUAGCUAUGCUUAUGUAAUUGGAUAUUCGAUUGACGACUUGGAGGGUAUUAUCCCUACCACUUGGAUUGUCUCUUUUGUUGAGAGUUCUUUCAGGUUUUUGCUUGUGCACGAUCCACUACAUGCUGACCAGGUUCGAGGUGACAUUCCUUGGGACCCUGGUGGACUCAGAGCAUGGGGAUGA
This 1155-nucleotide ribosomal RNA is filed under the name Triticum aestivum (bread wheat). Its description in RNAcentral is "partial small subunit ribosomal RNA". The record is from RNAcentral. Lineage: Eukaryota; Viridiplantae; Streptophyta; Magnoliopsida; Poales; Poaceae.